This 253-nucleotide ribosomal RNA is filed under the name Salmonella enterica subsp. enterica serovar Paratyphi B str. SARA61. RNAcentral's name for it is "partial 16S ribosomal RNA". It matches the Rfam family "Bacterial small subunit ribosomal RNA", at positions 1 to 248 of the family's 1533-position model. RNAcentral also lists the same sequence under 16 other names. The record is from RNAcentral. Lineage: Bacteria; Pseudomonadati; Pseudomonadota; Gammaproteobacteria; Enterobacterales; Enterobacteriaceae.
ACUUAAAUUGAAGAGUUUGAUCAUGGCUCAGAUUGAACGCUGGCGGCAGGCCUAACACAUGCAAGUCGAACGGUAGCACAGAGAGCUUGCUCUCGGGUGACGAGUGGCGGACGGGUGAGUAAUGUCUGGGAAACUGCCUGAUGGAGGGGGAUAACUACUGGAAACGGUGGCUAAUACCGCAUAACGUCGCAAGACCAAAGAGGGGGACCUUCGGGCCUCUUGCCAUCAGAUGUGCCCAGAUGGGAUUAGCUGG